Molecule: long non-coding RNA, 519 nt
Filed under: Meleagris gallopavo (turkey)
Lineage: Eukaryota; Metazoa; Chordata; Aves; Galliformes; Phasianidae
Description: lncRNA (ENSMGAG00000019171.1)
Source: RNAcentral
AUGCUUAUUACAGAAGAAAAAAUAUCUAUUGCUGUUCCAGAAGAAAUCCCAUCACCUGAAGAACCAAUAGUUGAAGAAUGGUCUGAAGAAGAAACAGAGGAAGUAUCUGUUUCCAUUCACAGAGAGGAGGUUUCUGAAGUGACUGAAGAAGAGUCUUAUUACAUAGAAGAGAAGGUAACUGUGCCUAAAAGAAAGGAAGCCCCACCUGCUAAAGUGCCUGAGAAGCCUAGGAGAGUUGCCCCUGAACCAGAAAUUCCAGCUGCUCUGAAGGAAGCUCCAGCAGCUAAAGUGCCUGAAGUUCAUAAAAAAGUAACUCCAAAAGAGAAAGUACCUGUCCCUGUUCCUAAGAAGGUGGAGGCUCCACCAUCAAGAGAACGUCCAGAAGAAGUGCCCACUUUUGAGAUAGCUGUUGAAGAACCACCAUCAACCAAAGUGACUCAAGUGCACAGAAAAAUUAUCACAGAAGAAAAGGUUGCGGUCGCUAAAAAAGAUGAGGCUCCACCCAAAAGAGGUAUAUAA